This 484-nucleotide ribosomal RNA is filed under the name uncultured bacterium. Its description in RNAcentral is "partial 16S ribosomal RNA". It matches the Rfam family "Bacterial small subunit ribosomal RNA", at positions 29 to 507 of the family's 1533-position model. The record is from RNAcentral.
AUUGAACGCUGGCGGCAUGCUUUACACAUGCAAGUCGGACGGCAGCGCGGGCUUCGGCCUGGCGGCGAGUGGCGAACGGGUGAGUAAUACAUCGGAACGUGCCCCGUAGUGGGGGAUAGCUCGGCGAAAGCCGGAUUAAUACCGCAUACGACCUGCGGGUGAAAGCGGGGGACUUUAGGGCCUCGCGCUAUUGGAGCGGCCGAUGGCAGAUUAGCUAGUUGGUGGGGUAAAGGCCUACCAAGGCGACGAUCUGUAGCUGGUCUGAGAGGACGACCAGCCACACUGGGACUGAGACACGGCCCAGACUCCUACGGGAGGCAGCAGUGGGGAAUUUUGGACAAUGGGCGCAAGCCUGAUCCAGCAAUGCCGCGUGUGUGAUGAAGGCCUUCGGGUUGUAAAGCACUUUUGGCAGGAACGAAAAGUGCCGUGCUAAUACCACGGUACGAUGACGGUACCUGCAGAAUAAGCACCGGCUAACUACGUG